Molecule: ribosomal RNA, 739 nt
Filed under: Shewanella sp. MBTD_CMFRI_Sh01
Lineage: Bacteria; Pseudomonadati; Pseudomonadota; Gammaproteobacteria; Alteromonadales; Shewanellaceae
Description: bacterial SSU rRNA
Rfam family: Bacterial small subunit ribosomal RNA
Source: RNAcentral
UGCAGUCGAGCGGUAACAUUUCAAAAGCUUGCUUUUGAAGAUGACGAGCGGCGGACGGGUGAGUAAUGCCUGGGAAUUUGCCCAUUUGUGGGGGAUAACAGUUGGAAACGACUGCUAAUACCGCAUACGCCCUACGGGGGAAAGCAGGGGACCUUCGGGCCUUGCGCUGAUGGAUAAGCCCAGGUGGGAUUAGCUAGUAGGUGAGGUAAAGGCUCACCUAGGCGACGAUCCCUAGCUGGUCUGAGAGGAUGAUCAGCCACACUGGGACUGAGACACGGCCCAGACUCCUACGGGAGGCAGCAGUGGGGAAUAUUGCACAAUGGGGGAAACCCUGAUGCAGCCAUGCCGCGUGUGUGAAGAAGGCCUUCGGGUUGUAAAGCACUUUCAGCGAGGAGGAAAGGGUGUAAGUUAAUACCUUACAUCUGUGACGUUACUCGCAGAAGAAGCACCGGCUAACUCCGUGCCAGCAGCCGCGGUAAUACGGAGGGUGCGAGCGUUAAUCGGAAUUACUGGGCGUAAAGCGUGCGCAGGCGGUUUGUUAAGCGAGAUGUGAAAGCCCCGGGCUCAACCUGGGAACCGCAUUUCGAACUGGCAAACUAGAGUCUUGUAGAGGGGGGUAGAAUUCCAGGUGUAGCGGUGAAAUGCGUAGAGAUCUGGGAGGAAUACCGGUGGCGAAGGCGGCCCCCUGGACAAAGACUGACGCUCAGGCACGAAAGCGUGGGGAGCAACAGGAAUAGAU